Molecule: ribosomal RNA, 322 nt
Filed under: uncultured eukaryote
Lineage: Eukaryota
Description: partial 18S ribosomal RNA
Rfam family: Eukaryotic small subunit ribosomal RNA
Source: RNAcentral
CCCUUAGAUGUUCUGGGCCGCACGCGUGCUACACUGAGUGGAUCAGCGGGUCAGGUUACGCGAGAGCGUUUCCUAAUCUUCAAAUCCGCUCGUGAUGGGGAUUGACGGUUGCAAUUUUCCGUCAUGAACGAGGAAUACCUUGUAAGCGCGGGUCAUCGUCCCGCGCUGAAUACGUCCCUGCCCUUUGUACACACCGCCCGUCGCUCCUACCGAUUGAGUGGUCCGGUGAGGCUUUGGGAUCUAAGCGAAAAGUGCGUUUCGCUCCUUUUGCUGGGAGAACUCAGUCGAACCUUAUCAUUUAGAGGAAGGAGAAGUCGUAACA